GGAGAGGUGCCAGAGUGGUUGAAUGGGACGGUCUCGAAAACCGUUGUGGUCCUCGUGGCCACCGUGGGUUCGAAUCCCACCCUCUCCGCCA
This 91-nucleotide transfer RNA is filed under the name Chloroflexota bacterium. RNAcentral describes it as "tRNA-Ser". It matches the Rfam family "tRNA". Rfam says of the family: Transfer RNA (tRNA) molecules are approximately 80 nucleotides in length. Their secondary structure includes four short double-helical elements and three loops (D, anti-codon, and T loops). Further hydrogen bonds mediate the characteristic L-shaped molecular structure. tRNAs have two regions of fundamental functional importance: the anti-codon, which is responsible for specific mRNA codon recognition, and the 3' end, to which the tRNAs corresponding amino acid is attached (by aminoacyl-tRNA synthetases). tRNAs cope with the degeneracy of the genetic code in two manners: having more than one tRNA (with a specific anti-codon) for a particular amino acid; and 'wobble' base-pairing, i.e. permitting non-standard base-pairing at the 3rd anti-codon position. The record is from RNAcentral. Lineage: Bacteria; Bacillati; Chloroflexota. RNAcentral also lists the same sequence under 1 other name.